GAUGAAGAACGCAGCGAAAUGCGAUAAGUAAUGCGAAUUGCAGAAUUCAGUGAAUCAUCGAAUCUUUGAACGCACAUUGCGCCCCCUGGUAUUCCGGGGGGCAUGCCUGUCCGAGCGUCAUUACAACCCUCAAGCUCAGCUUGGUAUUGGGCCCCGCCGCCCCGGCGGGCCCUAAAGUCAGUGGCGGUGCCGUCCGGCUCCGAGCGUAGUAAUUCUUCUCGCUCUGGAGGCCCGGUCGUGUGCUCGCCAGCAACCCCCAAUUUUUUUCAGGUUGACCUCGGAUCAGGUAGGGAUACCCGCUGAACUUAAGCAUAUCAAUAAGCGGAGGA
This 329-nucleotide unclassified non-coding RNA is filed under the name soil metagenome. RNAcentral describes it as "partial contains 5.8S ribosomal RNA, internal transcribed spacer 2, and large subunit ribosomal RNA". The stretch from base 1 to 120 matches the Rfam family "5.8S ribosomal RNA", at positions 35 to 154 of the family's 154-position model. The record is from RNAcentral.